RNAcentral lists this ribosomal RNA (208 nucleotides) under uncultured bacterium. RNAcentral's name for it is "partial 16S ribosomal RNA". It matches the Rfam family "Bacterial small subunit ribosomal RNA", at positions 524 to 724 of the family's 1533-position model. The record is from RNAcentral.
UACGAAGGGUCCAAGCGUUGUUCGGAAUCAUUGGGCGUAAAGCGCGCGCAGGCGGAUCAGCAAGUCAGGUGUGAAAUCUCGAGGCUCAACCUCGAAACUGCGCCUGAAAACUGCUAGUCUAGAAUGUCGGAGGGGGGCAGGGGGAAAUUUCACGUGUAGGGGGUAAAAAUCCGUAGAGAUGUGAAGGAACACCCGGAGGCGAAGGCGC